Long non-coding RNA from Rhipicephalus sanguineus (brown dog tick), 241 nucleotides. RefSeq lists it as uncharacterized. The record is from RefSeq and is a predicted model, not a curated record. The transcript is spliced from 2 exons. Lineage: Eukaryota; Metazoa; Arthropoda; Arachnida; Ixodida; Ixodidae.
CGCCGUUAUCGUCCAUGCAAUCGAAGUGCCUCCUAUCUUACGGCGACCGAAAUGUCGUCGUCCCUUUCGACGAGCCGUGGACGGGGCGGAAUUUAAUUGACCAUUUAAAGCAGAUGGACAUAUUCGCCGAAGUUGAGGCCUCUACCAUCGGCUUAACGCGUUUUGACGAGGACUUCCAAGUGUUUGUGGACAUAACGGAAGCGGAUGUGAUAGAAAAUAAAGCAAAAAUAAAAGUCCGAAC